Nicotiana tabacum (common tobacco) is the source of this 2442-nucleotide long non-coding RNA. RefSeq lists it as uncharacterized. The record is from RefSeq and is a predicted model, not a curated record. Lineage: Eukaryota; Viridiplantae; Streptophyta; Magnoliopsida; Solanales; Solanaceae.
UAGACCCAUCACCCCACCCCCUCGGCUUAGUCUCCUUCAAGACCCACCCCUCCCUGAAAAGAACCAGUAGAACACUGCUCCAAGACCACAUUUUCUUCACAAGAACAGUCACGCAUAUACUCACGGGAGAGACAGAAAAUCGGGACAAAAGGAGAGGAGAAAAGUUCUAGAGGGAUUUCGAUUGAGGUUUGGUUCUGAGUUCGUUCGUCGAUAGGAGAUUUCCGUUGCCAAGUCGAGUUUUGCCAACCGGUUCGCGAUCUCAGCUGCAUUUUGUUGCUUUAUUGUUGAUUUCCUUCAACUUUUCUCCAUUGUAUUCAUUUGGGGAGCAUUCGAGCUAAUUGAAAGUCCAUUUGAGUAAGUGUUUUAGGAUACGCUUAGAGUGUUUCAAUAUGGUAGGAUUAUAUGUUCCUCGUUGAUUUCCAUCUGGUUUUGAGUGUGAUUUUUUGUAUCAUGGACAUAUAUAUACUUGGGUCUUAAGUGGAAUACGCUAAUUUGUUUCUUUUAAGUAUGAGCAUGAAGCGGGUUUAAUUGUUCUCUCUAUGUGAUUUUCAAUCCACGGUUUAAUUUGGUCAACUUAAGGUUGAUGGAUUGUUCUUAUUAUUUUCAAGAUUAGUUUAAUCUUCAAAGAUUUAAUUUCAUGUUUAGUGUAGUUAAAUAUACAUUUAUAUAUAUUGCUUUAGGAUCUUCAUGUUAGGGUAUCACGAGAUUAGUGCUCUUUGUCAAAGUUCAUAUGCCCAUUUUCCCUUUAUUGCUUGAUAGCUCCAUCCUGAUAAUUGCUUGGAUUGGUUUUCUUGUUUGAUCAAUUGGUAGUACUGGUUAGCUUUCUUGGAAUGUAUAUUUGGAUUAAUAAGUGCAUUUUCAAAAAUUGGCAAAUGUUGAAGGAGGAGAAAAGUUACUGAAUUCUUAUUAUUUUCCGUUUUGGUUGUACCCUGGGGCUACAUAACAUGGUCCAAAUUUCCUCCUUGGUUUGAAGCCUGAUCAUGCUUAAUUUCAUUUCUGAUUCGUUGGUGUUGAUCUGUUAUGCUUUCUUCAUUUUACUAGUAGUAUCAAAAUUUUGGGCAAAGUAUACUGAGUUUGAGUUUUUAAUUGGUUACUAGAUACUGCUGAUUUCUGUAAGCUCUUGUUGAAAAAUUCUUUGCAAGCUUGUAAUCACAUUGAAGGUUGUCGAUUAAGCAUAGACUAGAAUAACUUCUGGUUCUGAGUGUAAUUUUGGUUUCAAGUCUGCAUUUUGUUGAGAAGCUGAGCGUAGAGAGUGUUGAACUAAGUUUGGGAGAUUUAGUUGUCUAAAAGGAUUCAAAUUCCAACUGUGGUUGAAAGUAAUUAGAAAGUCUUUAAAGAUAGCCUAAGAAUUGUUUAAUAAAAGGGAUUAUCUACCUAACCAACUAAAGAAGCUUCUAGUAGUGGUAGGGUUCAGAUUUCAUUAUUGAAAUUUAAUUCAAUAAGGUUUGAGUGGAAUACUCUUUUAAAAUAUUGAAACUGCAUUUUGUGAAUGAAAGGGCAUUCUCCAUUUCUUAUUUAAGGAGUUCAUAGAUAGAGAAAAAAAGGACGGAGAUAGAAACACAAGAGAGAGUCAAAAGAGACAUCAGAGAGAACAAUAUAGAGAGGAAAGAGUCCAAAGAGGGAAAGAAAAAAAGAGAGCUGAAAACAAGUUCUAAAAUUCAAAAAAUGAGAUUCCAUAUCUGAGAAUCAUAAUCCAAGAAAAAUAGAAAGAAAACUGGAAUUUCCGAUGAAGAUUUGAAGAGAAAUAAUUUGAAAAUUCGAUUUCUUUCUUUCUGGGCUUCGAAAAGUUGUUCUUGAGCUGUGGAAUAGCUGUAUUGUCGCUGUUGUUGCUGGCAACCGUACUGAGCUCUGUUUGGUUUCGAUUUCGCCUUUAUUUGCCCAACUUGUUGGUGAUUUCACUGUUCAGCUAGCUAUGCAGGAGAAGGUGACAAGGCUUACAUUCGAGCUUGAAGCGGCCAAUGAAUGAGAAAGCUUAGAGAUGCACAACUCCUUGGUAUGCAAGCUCAAAUCAGAACUCUCCUUUCUUCUGGAGAUUUUCUAUUGCCUCGGUCUCGUGAGUCAUCGCUAAAGGCCCGACCUCCGCGUGAUCGUUCCUCCCGUCCUCCCCGUGAUCGUUCUGCUCGUCCUCCACAUGAUUGUUCUUCCCCUUAUCCACAAGACCGUUGUUACCGUCUUCUAGAUGAAAGUUCAUCAGAUAAUGGUGAUGCUGUGAGAAAUACACCUUGAACAAUACAUUGAUAUACUUUGAACUAGACUAAUAGAACUUGUUUUGAAUUCGAAUGAACAUUUUUGAUCUUAUUGUAAUUACUUAGUUCUUAAUUGGUUUUGAAUUGUGUUGUUUAAUUGAACUUGUUUAUUCUAAAAUAUUGAUUGGGAUGUUUGGUUGGAUAUGGGUGUAUGGGUGAUUGGAUUUGUGGUGAAUUGAGGGUUAUUUGAUGUGAA